RNAcentral lists this ribosomal RNA (253 nucleotides) under uncultured bacterium. Its description in RNAcentral is "partial 16S ribosomal RNA". It matches the Rfam family "Bacterial small subunit ribosomal RNA", at positions 524 to 776 of the family's 1533-position model. The record is from RNAcentral.
UACGUAGGGUGCGAGCGUUGUCCGGAAUUAUUGGGCGUAAAGGGCUCGUAGGUGGCCAACUAAGUCAGACGUGAAAUCCCUCAGCUUAACUGGGGAACUGCGUCUGAUACUGGAUGGCUUGAGUUUGGGAGAGGGAUGCGGAAUUCCAGGUGUAGCGGUGAAAUGCGUAGAUAUCAAGAGGAACACCAGUGGCGAAGGCGAGUCCCUGGACAACUUCUGACGCUGAGGCACGAAAGCUAGGGGAGCAAACGGG